This 76-nucleotide transfer RNA is filed under the name Fervidobacterium gondwanense. Its description in RNAcentral is "tRNA-Phe". It matches the Rfam family "tRNA". Rfam says of the family: Transfer RNA (tRNA) molecules are approximately 80 nucleotides in length. Their secondary structure includes four short double-helical elements and three loops (D, anti-codon, and T loops). RNAcentral also lists the same sequence under 5 other names. The record is from RNAcentral. Lineage: Bacteria; Thermotogati; Thermotogota; Thermotogae; Thermotogales; Fervidobacteriaceae.
GGCCAGGUAGCUCAGAUGGUAGAGCAGUGGACUGAAAAUCCACGUGUCGACGGUUCGAUUCCGUCCCUGGCCACCA